RNAcentral lists this ribosomal RNA (114 nucleotides) under Spirochaetia bacterium. RNAcentral's name for it is "partial 16S ribosomal RNA". It matches the Rfam family "Bacterial small subunit ribosomal RNA", at positions 1 to 120 of the family's 1533-position model. Lineage: Bacteria; Pseudomonadati; Spirochaetota; Spirochaetia. The record is from RNAcentral.
AUAAUGGAGAGUUUGAUCCUGGCUCAGAACGAACGCUGGCGGCGCGUCUUAAACAUGCAAGUCGAACGGUAAACCAGCAAUGGUACGAGUGGCGAACGGGUGAGUAACACGUAG